AUGUAUGUAUUGCGGGUCUGGAUGCUUGCGCUCUUCCGUCUUGUGCUUUGAAAGUACGGAAUAAAGUUAUCUAUGAAAGGACGACGCCCCCUUAUGUUUACGGUGUUGUGCGCGAGAAUAGUUCCCUAUAAGACGCUUUGUGAUCAGUACUUCGAAAAUACAUCUUCAAAGGAAUCCGGGGUGGGGGGAGAAGAUUUUCGCUUUUGAUUCGGGGGAGGAAUAUCUGUUUGAAAAUCAUGUUUCGGAGGAUGAUUUGGCGGAUGGUUAUCAUACCCCCACCCCUCACCCCGAAAAAAAAAAAAAAAAGUUUAGAUUCAAAGAAGAAACAAUGGUGUACCGGCGAUAAUACUAAUAAAAAGGUGAACAAUAGCAAAGAAACUUGCUUCGAAGCAACGAAAACAACUAGAAGAUGAAGAAGAUUCAAUCACUACUAUAAUAAAUAAAGGUGAUUUGAAGAAACAAAAACAACCGGAAGAUGAAGAAACUUUGGCCAUUUGCAUAGUAAAGGAAGGAUUAUGACUUAAGUUUUUCUACUAGAUUUGUAAUGGUUAAUGUGCAAUAGAUGUUUCGAAGAAAUGAAAACAACUAGAAGAUGUAGAAGUUUCAGCCACUAAUAUAAGAAAAAAAGGUACUACUAUUUCUAUUUCCUUGAUCUUUGUUUCAAUUUAAGAUUACAACUUACGUUGUAAUGCUUAAUGUGCAACAGGUUUGAUUUUUGGUAUGCAUGCAUGAUUCAUCAAUGAAUUUUGGUACUGCUUAAUUAGAACAGGAAACAACAAGGAAAAGUACUAGUAUUUACAGGAUCACCAGUUAAUAUUGAUGUCCAACAGUGUGUGCACAAUACGUAUAAAACAUACUUUAAUUUCUGUUGUUGUUUUUUUUGUAGUCAAAUUAAGUUCAACAUGGAAAGAACCGAGUUAUAGAUGUAGUUGUAGUGGCAUAUGUGACUUUCUGAAUACUCAUUUUGAGAAGGAUGAAAAGGUCACAAAGACAUAUGAAGGUAAAGUGUGGUUCACUGAUUUGCAGUUAGACAAGCUUAUGGAUAACCAAUUUGGAAUGCACUAAAAAACUUUAUUUUUGAAAAAACCGAGCAGUAAAAUUGGUAGAGGACUGAUGACACAAUAUUGAAAAUAGUAACAACGUAUAGCUGUCAAUUUGCCGAAGAACGUGCUUUUGUUUUUUACGAUUCAAAGAAUAAUCUUGUGGUUGUAAAAACCCCACCUGAAAAAUUAGCUAGUGUAUUUGGAUUGAAAAUUGUGGGCAGGAUAUUAUACAUGUAAGGAAUUAAAAACGGCUUAUGAAAAUCGUGUGAUCCAGUAAUAAAAAGGAUGCAAGAUUUUAUACAAAAAAAAAAAAAAAAAAAAAA
Papaver somniferum (opium poppy) is the source of this 1366-nucleotide long non-coding RNA. RefSeq lists it as uncharacterized. Lineage: Eukaryota; Viridiplantae; Streptophyta; Magnoliopsida; Ranunculales; Papaveraceae. The record is from RefSeq and is a predicted model, not a curated record. The transcript is spliced from 2 exons.